AACGAACGCUGGCGGCGCGCCUAAUACAUGCAAGUCGAACGAGAAGCUGUAGCAAUACAGUUGUACAGUGGCGAACGGGUGAGGAAUACAUGGGUGACCUACCCUCGAGUGGGGAAUAACCAGCCGAAAGGUUAGCUAAUACCGCGUACGCUCCUUGGACUUCGGUUCAGGGAGGAAAGCGAUACCGUGGGUAUCGCGCUCUUGGUUGGGCUCAUGUCCUAUCAGCUUGNGGUGAGGUAACGGCUCACCAAGGCUUCGACGGGUAGCUGGUCUGAGAGGACGAUCAGCCACACUGGCACUGCGACACGGGCCAGACUCCUACGGGAGGCAGCAGUAAGGAAUAUUGCGCAAUGGGCGAAAGCCUGGCGCAGCGACGCCGCGUGGGGGGAGUGAAAGU
This 397-nucleotide ribosomal RNA is filed under the name uncultured bacterium. RNAcentral's name for it is "bacterial SSU rRNA". It matches the Rfam family "Bacterial small subunit ribosomal RNA", at positions 29 to 417 of the family's 1533-position model. The record is from RNAcentral.